GAGUUUGAUCCUGGCUCAGAUUGAACGCUGGCGGCAGGCCUAACACAUGCAAGUCGAACGGUAACAGGAAUCAGCUUGUUGAUUCGCUGACGAGUGGCGGACGGGUGAGUAAUGUCUGGGAAACUGCCUGAUGGAGGGGGAUAACUACUGGAAACGGUAGCUAAUACCGCAUAAUGUCGCAAGACCAAAGAGGGGGACCUUCGGGCCUCUUGCCAUCGGAUGUGCCCAGAUGGGAUUAGCUAGUAGGUGGGGUAACGGCUCACCUAGGCGACGAUCCCUAGCUGGUCUGAGAGGAUGACCAGCCACACUGGAACUGAGACACGGUCCAGACUCCUACGGGAGGCAGCAGUGGGGAAUAUUGCACAAUGGGCGCAAGCCUGAUGCAGCCAUGCCGCGUGUAUGAAGAAGGCCUUCGGGUUGUAAAGUACUUUCAGCGGGGAGGAAGGGAGUAAAGUUAAUACCUUUGCUCAUUGACGUUACCCGCAGAAGAAGCACCGGCUAACUCCGUGCCAGCAGCCGCGGUAAUACGGAGGGUGCAAGCGUUAAUCGGAAUUACUGGGCGUAAAGCGCACGCAGGCGGUUUGUUAAGUCAGAUGUGAAAUCCCCGGGCUCAACCUGGGAACUGCAUCUGAUACUGGCAAGCUUGAGUCUCGUAGAGGGGGGUAGAAUUCCAGGUGUAGCGGUGAAAUGCGUAGA
This 696-nucleotide ribosomal RNA is filed under the name uncultured bacterium. RNAcentral describes it as "bacterial SSU rRNA". It matches the Rfam family "Bacterial small subunit ribosomal RNA", at positions 9 to 694 of the family's 1533-position model. The record is from RNAcentral.